This 3807-nucleotide long non-coding RNA is filed under the name Androctonus crassicauda. Lineage: Eukaryota; Metazoa; Arthropoda; Arachnida; Scorpiones; Buthidae. The record is from RNAcentral.
GAAAACGCGAAUGAACUUUCCAGUAGGAUUUUCUCGCUUGGGAAACGUUUCUUUAAACUUUUAAAAGAAAAAAAUGUUCUUACGCGGUCCGUCAACCGUUGAAUGUGCGGCGUAUUUACUCGAAUGCCAUCUCACUUCCGUUGUAGCUAUAGCGGCACAAGUAGUGGAAGUCAAACUGGGCUUAAAAUAAUAAUUUCGGCACAUAUUGUCCAAGAAUGUUACCGUAAUAGAGUAGGAGACUGUUCUAAAGAAGUCAAGACGUGCUGACGCAUUAAGAAAAGUCCGACGAUAAAAAUAACUGACCGGAAUUAGUAAACAAAUAGAACAAACCCGGAGUGCAGGUGGAAGCGCUGCCGUUUCCUCAUAGACGCCGAAGUUGCACAGCUGCCGUUUAUAAACCGUUCUUUUUUUUUCUUUUUUUUAAUCGCGAGACGAUAUCCUUCGCAGUCUGGUACAGUUUUAGUCGAUAGAAAGAUUUCUGUAUUUUGUCCUCAAUUUUUAUAAAAAAAUUUCGCUUUUGGCACGGGAUUAGCGUGUUAUUUCGUCUUUAUUUUUGUCCGCCACAUUCAUAACGCGUGAAUGACGAAACGGAAGUUGCGUAUCUCGGCUGCGAUUUCUAGGUAGCAGUUAUGCUAAAAAUUAGCUUUUAUGGCAGCCUGAAAACUGUCAAGCGCAGCUGGUUUGGUAAAGAUCUAACGUUUUCCCCCUUACAAUAUAUAUCUCUUAGCAAGCGAGUUUAAUAAAUGUAGUAAGAUUUUAGAGCGCGCGGCGGAUUAUAAAAGAGAAGAAUGGGACGGAGGUGUUUCCAGUCAACUCCGCCCAAAAGUGGAUCGGUCCCGUGGCGGGACACAUGGGAGAAGGAAAGAACCGAUUUAUAAAUAUUCAAAAUUCCAAAGUGACAUUCCCGGUGCAACCCUUCUCACAUUCUGGCUUCUGCUCCAUGCCGCCGCAAGACUAUUCACACUCCGAAGGCCACCUACGAAGACAACGCGAGAGGCACCCGACACCCGAGCACUCAACGCGAGCGCGCAACACACACCAGCUGUGUAUCCCUCGGCGGAUUUUUAUUUUGGAAAGACGGUAAUCAAAUAAGGCAAAGUUACGAAGUCCAGGUACAUUGCCCCGUUUGUUUUGACCAGAGUCGGCGGCAAAGCGCAACUUUAGACGUGCCCAUCCGACUGGCGCGGCCUCCCCUCCGGCCCAGUGGGUGCGGUCUCGUGUCACGGAGUCGUGCAGUGCAGUAAUGAUGGUAAUCGCUUCGUAGCGGCAGCCAGCCGGAACAAAGGCAAGCCGCCAGCCAGAGAACGAUAAGGGCUCCUGCGCCGGCGCUGUCCGUCCCAGUGUUGUAGGCGUCGACCAAGCGGAAAGACCUGCCGAACAUCCGUCGGCUAGAAGCGUAACACAGACCGGACCAGUCCGGUCGCACGGUACUUUGUAGCCCCCGAUUUAACGUACCGAAUUUUUGCCAGGUAACGACACCCUUGCACACUUAUGGUCCGUGCAAGCCAUCAACAUGACUGGGUGAGUAAUCUUUCUUUUUAUUUAUUUUUUUCCCGUCGACGGCCUUUCGGAUCGGGGCGUACGAGUUGCGUGUGAGUGUUAAUUGGGGCCGCUACUGCUACACGGCGGCCGUGUGUUGGCAGAGCGUCCACGUGUCUCGUACUUGUUAAUGCAGUUGGGUUGUAUCGCGGUCUCUCUCGACGGAGAGCCGUCGUUCCGAGUGUUUAUCGUCGGUCUUAAGUGGAGAAAGUUUUGCUGGAUCGUUACGUUGUCAACUCUGUCUGACAGGUAAUUGCCCGCGUACUUUUCCGCUUUUCUCUCUUACGGACCAGGCGCGGUCACCCAAACUAUCCGAAAACUCCCUUUUCUUUCCGUUCCCACCGGAGUGUGUGGUUUUCGCCCAGUUUCUGGCAUCUCGGCCCUCCCUUUAAGUUUUGACCCAGAGCGGAAACUAACGUUUCUCCCGCCUUGAACCGAUCAGAACUACGCGUGGAUUUGGCGCGUUAUCGUGGUUUUUACCGACGCGUAGUCCAUCUCCGCCUUUGUUUACUAUUGACCUAGGUGAUGAGAAACCUCUAAUUCGAUUUUUAUUGUGUGAAUUCGCAUUUUUGGUCUGGGUCUCCCCUCGGUGCUAUUCAUCAAGAGCCACCCGUACGAGGCAGCCAGUCCUAUUUAAGCAAAUUGCGAAGUGCCACCGACGUGUGUCACGUCUUCGCCGACUUCCAACGCUCAAAAUUAAUGAGCCAUUGAAAGGGUUGAGCGAGUUCCCAGUCCGUGACACCCCGUCGAUGUUCCCUGGCUAGUCCUCUUCUCGCUUCCUGUCGUUUGCACGCGUCUGGCUUUCCUUUCAUCGUCGUCUGUGUUAAAACCGGCGGCUAGCCUUCGUUAGACUGCCGAGUUCGCGGGACCGUGUCGUUUGACCCCGGCUGACGCCAACGGGGGGCAAGGGGAAGAAACUUUUGGGGCCGACGGCCGAUUCUUUUUCCCGCCUAACUAGCCCGAAUUAUCCAGAUGGAUUCUUUUCAAAAAACUCACCAAUGGAUUUUAUGAGUUGCAUUCACGUUACGGGACUGCAGAACGGAAUAGGUCCGAAUUUUUUCUUUUUUUCUUUUUUUUUUUUUACCCCGAAUAAAUGGUAUGUUAUUAAGUUUUCUAAAUUUUUUCCGAUUUUUUUUCCUUCGAUAUUUUCCACGAUUUUUCGCUUUAUCGCUUUCGCACAAAAGAAUGGGUGACGUCGCUCUCUGGCGUUUAAAGUUUCCCAACAAAACUUAAACGUUUAUAAAUUCGGUCGAACUCUUUACUAAUAUCUAAACAACGGUAAUAUUAGACGAAAAAAAACUUUUUUUACCGGCUCUUACAUUUUUUUUUAACAUUUUCUUCGUCUGGCGUAAAGAAUAAUUACUCUUUCUCUUUAAUAACUUAUCGAAUCAUAAGUUUUAAAAAAUAUGGUAAAGUAGAAACUAAUUUAGAAAAUUUCUCGCGCGUCGGGUGACGUAAUUGCAGAACUUUUUUUAAUAAGUUAUUAUCUCCGAAAUAGGCGGCCCUUAACGCACCAGCUAGCUUUCCUCCCUAGGCCUAUAGAUUAUGGCGUCUAGACGAUGUCUAUAACCAGGCCUAGCCUAUAAUAUCGAUCAUCCACCAGCUUAUUGAUCGAUAACGCAAUUUUAGAUUUUUAAUCCCCUUAUGGGCUUAUAGUUAGGCGUCGGUAGAGAUCUAAAUUAAAGAGAAAGUGGAUAAUUCGGUUAAGGCCUAUGGCCCUUUGAGGUUUCGGCUGCCAGAUCUAGUAAAUGUGCUGCUGUCCAUUUUAAGGGACUUGGAAUACACGCGGCGCAAAACACGGACUUUUCUUUCAUUCCGAUAACACUCCGAAGGUCAUUUUUCCAUGGAGUUUUUUUUUAUCCGUUAUUAAUUCGAUUUUGUUCAAAGCUUUCGUAAGCUAUACGAGUCUAUAAUCAAUCGGUUAAAUACGUUAGCUUGGUUUGUGACCCGUACAUUCGUCUCGCCAGCCAAAAAUGGGGCAAAUCCCGCGAAAUUGGCAGGAGAACCAGAAGUGUGAAGAUCGCACAAUUUGGCAAGCCACCCAAAAGUGGGAAGACCUCAGAUUUGGCAGAUGAGCAGGAAGGACCCGUGGUAAUUCGGUCGGAGAACUAGUGGUGGAAGAUCAUGUACAUUUGGCAAUGAAAUCAAAUCGGUUAACCGAGGAUCCAAAACUGAUAUUUUUCUCGAAAAUGUAAGAAAUGUAAAUCGUCGACUUUAUUAUAUAUAUAAAAAAAAAAACUAUUCACAAGACACUAACUAGACGUCCUA